RNAcentral lists this ribosomal RNA (500 nucleotides) under uncultured bacterium. Its description in RNAcentral is "partial 16S ribosomal RNA". It matches the Rfam family "Bacterial small subunit ribosomal RNA", at positions 29 to 523 of the family's 1533-position model. The record is from RNAcentral.
AUUGAACGCUGGCGGCAUGCCUUACACAUGCAAGUCGAACGGCAGCGCGGGAGCAAUCCUGGCGGCGAGUGGCGAACGGGUGAGUAGUGCAUCGGAACGUGCCCAGUUGUGGGGGAUAGCCCGGCGAAAGCCGGAUUAAUACCGCAUGAGACCUGAGGGUGAAAGCGGGGGAUCGAAAGACCUCGCGCGACUGGAGCGGCCGAUGUCAGAUUAGGUAGUUGGUGGGGUAAGGGCCUACCAAGCCUGCGAUCUGUAGCUGGGCUGAGAGGACGAACAGCCACACUGGGACUGAGACACGGACCAGACUCCUACGGGAGGCAGCAGUGGGGAAUUUUGGACAAUGGGCGCAAGCCUGAUCCAGCCAUGCCGCGUGCGGGAAGAAGGCCUUCGGGUUGUAAACCGCUUUUGUCGGGGAAGAAACGGCCUGGGCUAAUACCUUGGGCUAAUGACGGUACCCGAAGAAUAAGCACCGGCUAACUACGUGCCAGCCGCCGCGGUAA